UACGUAGGGUGCGAGCGUUAAUCGGAAUUACUGGGCGUAAAGGGCUCGUAGGUGGCCAACUAAGUCAGACGUGAAAUCCCUCGGCUUAACCGGGGAACUGCGUCUGAUACUGGAUGGCUUGAGUUUGGGAGAGGGAUGCGGAAUUCCAGGUGUAGCGGUGAAAUGCGUAGAUAUCUGGAGGAACACCGGUGGCGAAGGCGGCUCACUGGGUCUUAUCUGACGCUGAUGCACGAAAGCUAGGGGAGCAAACGGG
Molecule: ribosomal RNA, 253 nt
Filed under: uncultured bacterium
Lineage: Bacteria
Description: partial 16S ribosomal RNA
Rfam family: Bacterial small subunit ribosomal RNA
Source: RNAcentral